This 426-nucleotide ribosomal RNA is filed under the name uncultured prokaryote. RNAcentral's name for it is "bacterial SSU rRNA". It matches the Rfam family "Bacterial small subunit ribosomal RNA", at positions 355 to 774 of the family's 1533-position model. The record is from RNAcentral.
UGGGGAAUCUUCCGCAAUGGACGAAAGUCUGACGGAGCGACGCCGCGUGAGUGAUGAAGGCCCUUGGGUCGUAAAGCUCUGUCAUCAGGGACGAACGGUCACGUCAGGAAAUGGGCGUGAAUUGACGGUACCUGAGAAGGAAGCCACGGCUAACUACGUGCCAGCAGCCGCGGUAAUACGUAGGUGGCAAGCGUUGUCCGGAAUUAUUGGGCGUAAAGCGCGCGCAGGUGGGAUCUUAAGUCCAUUUUGAAAGUUCGGAGCUCAACUCCGUGAUGGGAUGGAAACUGGGAUUCUUGAGUAUCGGAGAGGAAAGCGGAAUUCCCCGUGUAGCGGUGAAAUGCGUAGAUAUCGGGAGGAACACCAGUGGCGAAGGCGGCUUCCUGGCACAAUACUGACGCUCAUGUGCGAAAGCUAGGGCAGCGAACA